Molecule: ribosomal RNA, 255 nt
Filed under: uncultured bacterium
Lineage: Bacteria
Description: partial 16S ribosomal RNA
Rfam family: Bacterial small subunit ribosomal RNA
Source: RNAcentral
GACGUAGGGCGCGAGCGUUGUCCGGAUUUAUUGGGCGUAAAGAGCUCGUAGGUGGUUUGUCGCGUUGUUCGUGAAAACUCACAGCUCAACUGUGGGCGUGCGGGCGAUAACGGGCAGACGUGGAGUACUGCAGGGGAGACUGGAAUUCCUGGUGUAGCGGUGAAAUGCGCAGAUAUCAGGAGGAACACCAAUGGCGAAGGCAGCUCGCUGGGACGGUACUGACGCUGAGGCGCGAAAGCGUGGGGAGCAAACAGG